This 387-nucleotide unclassified non-coding RNA is filed under the name soil metagenome. RNAcentral describes it as "partial contains 5.8S ribosomal RNA, internal transcribed spacer 2, and large subunit ribosomal RNA". The stretch from base 1 to 120 matches the Rfam family "5.8S ribosomal RNA", at positions 35 to 154 of the family's 154-position model. The record is from RNAcentral.
GAUGAAGAACGCAGCGAAAUGCGAUAAGUAAUGUGAAUUACAGAAUUCAGUGAAUCAUCGAAUCUUUGAACGCACAUUGCGCCCAUUAGUAUUCUAGUGGGCAUGCCUGUUCGAGCGUCAUUAAUUCCACUUAAGCCCUGCUUAGUGUUGGGAAUCUACUCUAGUGGUGCUACCCUGGAGCUACCCCUGAAAGGGGGCUGGCCCGGUAGCUACCCUGUAGUUCCUCAAAGAUAGUGCGCGGAGUUGCGUGGUCCUCUGAGCUUAGUAACUAUACACCUAGCUUUUGAGUGUCCCGCGGCGCCUGCCGUUUAAACCCCAUCUUUUAAUGGUUGACCUCGGAUCAGGUAGGAAUACCCGCUGAACUUAAGCAUAUCAAUAAGCGGAGGA